This 789-nucleotide ribosomal RNA is filed under the name uncultured Actinobacillus sp. RNAcentral describes it as "bacterial SSU rRNA". It matches the Rfam family "Bacterial small subunit ribosomal RNA", at positions 99 to 886 of the family's 1533-position model. Lineage: Bacteria; Pseudomonadati; Pseudomonadota; Gammaproteobacteria; Pasteurellales; Pasteurellaceae. The record is from RNAcentral.
CGGACGGGUGAGUAAUGCUUGGGAAUCUGGCUUAUGGAGGGGGAUAACUACGGGAAACUGUAGCUAAUACCGCGUAAUAUCUUCGGAUUAAAGGGUGGGACUUUCGGGCCACCUGCCAUAAGAUGAGCCCAAGUGGGAUUAGGUAGUUGGUGGGGUAAAGGCCUACCAAGCCGACGAUCUCUAGCUGGUCUGAGAGGAUGACCAGCCACACUGGAACUGAGACACGGUCCAGACUCCUACGGGAGGCAGCAGUGGGGAAUAUUGCACAAUGGGGGGAACCCUGAUGCAGCCAUGCCGCGUGAAUGAAGAAGGCCUUCGGGUUGUAAAGUUCUUUCGGUGAUGAGGAAGGUGUUUGUUUUAAUAGAACAAGCAAUUGACGUUAGUCACAGAAGAAGCACCGGCUAACUCCGUGCCAGCAGCCGCGGUAAUACGGAGGGUGCGAGCGUUAAUCGGAAUGACUGGGCGUAAAGGGCACGCAGGCGGUGACUUAAGUGAGAUGUGAAAGCCCCGAGCUUAACUUGGGAAUUGCAUUUCAUACUGGGUCGCUAGAGUAUUUUAGGGAGGGGUAGAAUUCCACGUGUAGCGGUGAAAUGCGUAGAGAUGUGGAGGAAUACCGAAGGCGAAGGCAGCCCCUUGGGAAUAUACUGACGCUCAUGUGCGAAAGCGUGGGGAGCAAACAGGAUUAGAUACCCUGGUAGUCCACGCUGUAAACGCUGUCGAUUUGGGGAUUGGGCUUAGAGCUUGGUGCCCGUAGCUAACGUGAUAAAUCGACCGCCUGGGGAGUACGGC